ACAUUAUGACAUCUUCUUCACACAUUAAUCUUUAAUUUUGAGCAUAAAUUGAGGUAGAGAAAUCAAACUCGAAGAAACUUCGAGAGAAAAGAAACCAAUUAAAAUAAAAUGUUAAAAUCUUUCCCAUCACCACAAUUUCAAGAUAUGGCCUCUCUGCACCUUCAUCACAACCAUCUCAACAAGAAAACACAGGAAGAAAUUAAAUCCAAAAAGAAGCAAAUGUGAAGAAAAGAAGAAGAACUAGUCUACAGCAACACAAAGUCUUUCCUCGUUUAAUCCGUAAAUAAAAUGGUAACUCCUUUUUUUAUUUUGACUCAUUUUAUAUUUUAUAUUUUAAUUUAUAAUUAGAGUCAUAUAUAUCUUUUAUUUAAUUUGUUUAGGCUUGAGUAUAUGCUUUUCUAUACUAUUUCUUUUUCUUGUAUUUUCGUUGAGUAUAAGUAUCUGAUGACUGAACAUUUCCAUGAUUGGAUCUAAACAUUUGUGAUUAGUUUUUCUUAAUAUUAGCAUAAUAACAAAUUAAUAAUUUUUUGAUAGAAAAUGUCUAAAAGACUGGCUCUUGCUUCCUCUAUUCUGACAUUCAUUUCAUCUUACUACGUGUAAAAUAUAUGGAUCCUUCGAAGCAUUUGUGACACCAUUGAUUUUAUGACACAUAACUUCAACAAACAACAAAAAAGGUAACAGCAACAUUGGAAUCAAUUUAGUAGGUUGAAACAACAUAUCACAUCCAAAGAAAAUGGAUGGCUUAGAGAUUACAUUAUCCAAUAACAUUAAUAACAUUAAUGUAACCCUUUUAAGAAAACUCAUUUGAGGCAUAUUUCAAGAAACUGAUAAAAUCUUGGUAAGUAUUCUCUCUAUUUCUACCCGUGCAAGUUCUUCCACGUAGAACUCCAUUCUUCCACCUAGUAUUAUUAUCUCUUGGAGACUUGGAUUUGAAUCCUUGUUUUUAUGGUUUCGCCACUAAACUUCUUUUGUUCCCUUAGUUGAUAUUGUUUCGUUUGUACAAAUUCAUGACCUCAUUAUUACGGUUAAAGAAUUCUAAUGUACAAUGCAAUCCCACGACAACUCUUUGUACCAUCACCCCCUCAAAACAUCAUCAUUGAGCUCAACAACAAGAAAUUUAACUUUAACCCAAUACCAAUGAUGUAUUUGUUUAGUUAGAUUAUAUCAAGAGCAUUUACACUGCUAGAAGCGACUACUCGUGACUCCUCGGCAUCAAAUACGGUCUAACUAUUCAAAACUCGUAAUCUUGGUCUUUGGUUUGAAAAUUCUGCCUCCUAGAAAAGAUUAAGUUCCUCUUUUGACUCGCUUGUCACAACUUUACCCCAUCACUAGAACAUGAUAACCUCAACUUCUUGCUCCAUAUGCGGUCUAGAAGAUGUGUUUUCCGUGUGUUGUAGACAAAAGUGCUUCUAAAAAUCUGUCACUUAACCUUGGAUUCUCCCAUAAAGAUCUUUCCUCGAUCCAUAAUACUAAUGUUUGGCUUAUAAAUGGAAGCUCUAACAACUGUUAUACCCUAUUUGCGGCAAGAAUUUUGUGGGCUUAGAGAAACAAAAAAUGUACUUGUAUCCCCCAUGAUCACAUUCCCUUGUAUCUUAUUUCUCUGAUUGCUCGCUCCAUGGAAGGCUCCUUUCACAUUUGCUUAAACAAAUCUAUUCAGAAGCACAUUGAAGAUCGUCUCAUAAAAUGAAACCCCUUCAAUUGUUCUUGCCCUAUUAUUAAUGUUGAUGACAUUUGUAAUGAUACAUCAACUCUCGUUGACUUUGGUGGAACAAUUACAAAUGCUUAAAGAGCUUAGAGGCGUGGCAUCUCUAACUUCAUUUUAAAUUGGGGGACUUUCAUUGGGGGACUUUCAUACCUUUAAGGUUUUGUUUUGGAGUUUAGAGGGGAGGGGAAGAGUGAGUUUUGAAAAACGUUUUUUUAAAUAGAGAAAUCUUUAAUAUUUUUUGAAAAAAAAGUUGUAUAGAAAACUUUAACGCUUUUUUUAAAUAGAGAAAUCUUUAACAUUAUUGAAAAAAAUUGAUAAAUUAUAUUUUAACAAUUUAUCUAAGCCCUCCAAAACCAUCCAAACUCCUUCUCCAAUACAAUUUUUUAAUUCCCCAAAUUAGGGAGAUUUUGGUUUUUGAGUAAAAAUAAACCCCCCAAACUCUAUCCACCUAAAUCUUUUUAUUUUUUUCCCUCAAUCAUUUGCUUUUUUCGAAGUCUUGCCAUUCCUUCCCCUUCAAACUCCCAAACAAAGCUUUAGUGUAGAUUUGAAGAUGAAUAUGUAAGAGAGAGAGAGAGAGAGAGAGAGUGUGUAGAUUUGAAGAUGAAUAUGUAAGAGAGAGAGAGAGAGAGUGUAGAUUUGAAGAUGAAUAGGUGUGUGUGUGAGAGAGAGAGAGAGGGAGAUAUGGUUAAGAGAGAUAGAGGGAAAGGUACCAAGGCACCAAAAUCCAAAGGUAGUCAACCCCUUCCCAUGCUUAAGGCAUCCUAAAGGUUGCUACCAAACCCUCGUGAAAGGCUAAAAAUACCCCUAGAAUUCAGAGAUGCAUUUCCAAACAUACCUCAAACAUACACAUCCCAUCUGUUUUUAAUCCACGUCCCAAAUAUUUGAUUGAACUGAUUCCGAAACAUAUUGAACCAGCAACAAACACAGAAUUGAAAAGAUAAUGAAUGAAGAUAAAUCAAUAUUGGUAACAUAAAAAAUGAAACAUUACAUAAGUAACCAUUAACAUAAAUCGAACACUACAUUUUAACAUAAAUCGAACACUACAUUUUAACAUCCAGAUAGACACUUCAACACCUUCAUAAUAUAUGUGAUCGGUCUUGCAAUCGUCGCAUCUAGCUCAAUCAGACGUUUUAUUUCGUAACAAAAAAAGUAUUCCAUAUAAGCCUUAAAUAUUCAUGUGUCUUUAGCUUUCAAAAAUCUCUCUUGUAUCACUUUCCAUUCGGUCAAGAUGGAGAUAUUUGACUUAUCGUCCUUCAUCACGCCAUCAUCAUCAAACCCGAUCCCUUUCCAGUGAGUUCAAACCUUAUUCAUUCUUAUCAUGCUAUCGUGUUUCACCUUCUUUGAAAUUAGACAAGCACACGGGACUCGAGAGACCAUAUGUUUUCCUGAAUGUGCAACCAUACUUUGAGUUAUCAGAAUCUACAUUCUAAGUUUGUUUGGCUUAGUGAAAAAUAAAAUCCAAUCCUGCUCAAGAUAUGUUUCCGACCAACUAAGAAUAUAAAUUGUUGUCUUUGAAUCUGUGUUAUGAUACUGUGAUGCUACAACCAAAUGAUGUUUGUAUCUCGUUAUGCUGAUUUUGGAUCAUUUGAUUUACAUAGUCUCAAUCUCUAGACAAAUUACCCUUACUAUUUCCCAACCAAUUCUUUAGUGUAGCAUGGGAAGACUUAACUCGAUUAGUUGUUGUAUUUCCAUGGUAUCUUACUUGAUCGGUCCAAGCACAAACAAUUUUCUUCUUUACAUGGUAUAAAACUCUACUUUCAACAUGUUUCAAUAAAUAUGGAUACUUCUCAAACAACUUCAUGAAACAUAUAACAACAUAGACAUAUAAUUCUUCUGGAGAAGAUUUUUAUUAUCACAUUCCAUGCAUCUAUUAUUCUUACCAUAAUCACAUAAGCUUUGACCAUUUUGUCGUCUUCACCCUUAAUUUGUUUUGUCACUACCGCGGGUUUAACUCGACUUCUAACAUUCUUUGUGAAGUGAUACUUGCUACUUAAUGCGUAUGAAAUAGAAAAUACUUUGCAAUUGAAUUUAUCAAUGUAGUAUCACGGUCGUUGACAAUGACUUUCGACGUGUCUUUUUUGUCCUUCAACAUUGUCUGACACACUUCUAAAGAAAAAGUUACAUUUUCCUAUUUUUCUCUCUUCAGAAAUACAAACAUGACAUAAUAAGUCUUCUCAGUAAAGGUAACACCAACAAUUUUCGAUAUUGGAAACCUGUACUUGUUGGUCUUAUACGUUGAAUCAAUGAUGAGUAUAGUAGGAAACAUGUUGAACAACUUUAUAAAAUCGGGAUGAGUCCAAAAUAUAGCUCGAACUAUUACUCAGUCCUCGCAUGUUCGGUACCUGUAGAUACAUAAUUGUUAUCAUCCAGAAGUUUCAACAGUUGUUGUAUUUCAGUUCUAUCUCCCAUUAACGCCUUGUUGUUAAGGACACAAAACGAUUUCCUUCUCUUCCAGCAUAAGGUGACAUGCAAUUGGAUGCCCGACUAACUUGUCACACAUGUCACGGUUAUGUAAUCCAUAAUUUACAUUAAAUCUCCAUUUGUUAUUUGACAAAAGAUACCCAUGCAACUUAAAGGGACACUCGCAUUUUCUCAAACUGGUGUCAUCUCAUUUGAAUUUUCGGAGAAGGGUUUUAUACUUCCUACUUCUUUCGUAUCUCAUUGUCACAAAUGCAAAUCUUCUAUCUGAAUCAUUAUCGGGCCUUUCAAUUACAACAAAAAACCCCAGUUUGGAUGCUUUUUGUGCAAGUCCAUUGAAGCAUAUGAUCACAAAAUGCAAACUUUUAUUCAUUUGUAAAUUGGUUGUCAACAUCUACCUCAUUCACAUCAACACGUUUGGCAUCCAUAGACACAAUAGGUUCCAGAAAAACAUCAGGGUACACCAUAUCUAAUGCAAACAAUAACAAAAAAAAUCAAACAUUGAUUGAAAUGAACAAUGAACAAUUCUGGGAAUGCAUUUCUGUAGAAGUUCAUACAAAAUCCAGAAAUACAUUUACGGACGCAACGUAACUUUUACAGCUCAAAAACAAGAUUAAUGUGAGCAAUGAGGAAUGAAAUAAAUUAUCUUUACCUUGAAUUUCAACUUCUUUUUCUCCUUUUGAUAUGAUGAAACAUAAGACUAAAGUUUUGAAGUGGAAAUCUUGAUUGAGAAUGGAAUGACUUUUUAUAAGUAUAUUGAGGGAAAAAAUGGUAAUGGUGUUUGAUCAUGCAAUGUUCUAUUUUGUUGAAAAUCACGUUUGAUAUUUUAGGAAAUGCACAUCCGAAAUUGACUGAAAUGCAAAGGUGGAAGGUUUUCAAAUUCCCGUUUCACAAAUCCGAAAAUGCACUUCUGAAAAAGGCAUUGAGUUGUUAAAUUAGGAAUAAAUUGAUAGAGUGGGCCCAGAGAUGCAUCUCCGAAAUAAGUUUUGGAACAAAUAAGAGGUGAGACUCAGUUAGGGCACAUUUCAAUGAGGGCAUAGUGCAUCCCAAAAUGCAUUUUCAGAAUCAGAAGGACAAUUUCAAGUUUUUAUAAGGUGUUUUUCCACCACUUAAGGUGGAAUUAACAAUUCCUUUCUGUUUUUGUGUUGGAUAAAGAUGUGUACUUUCCAGAGAAUUAUCUGUAGUUUUAUAAAAAUGCAGGGUGCAUAAAAUCGCUUUCAAAAAAUGGCAUAUGAAAUAAGUUUCUCACAUCAUUUUAUUGAUGUUCAAAAUACAUAAAUUCUAUACAUAAUGCAAGGAACCAAACAAAUUUAGACAUUCUAAAUACUAGCUUCCAGGUCUCUAAUUGAGAUCUCAUCUAUUACAAAACUACAAACAUAUAAAUAAGUAAAUACCUUAAGCACCAAAUGCAUGAAAUACAAAACUUCCCUUUGAUCAUGGUGUUGUUGGAGAAGUUGGAACUUAAUUAUUAUGCUUCAAAGACCAUAGAAAGUACACCAUCUCUGCAUUAUUAUCAAAACAAAUUGAAACCAGGCAAAAUUAUCCCGACAGAGAGUGAUUAUGCUCUCCAUUGACAAUAUCAGGUAGCUCAGAACUGACUAUGUGAGAAAUUCAUCCAUGUCUUUUUCUCCAUAAAUUUGAGACAGGACUGAAUUACAAGGCCAAUCGACAUAGAAAUGAGGCUUACAACCAAUACUUUGAGGGUUGAAAAAUAUAAUACCAAACAAAUAAAUAUUGUAGGAGGAAUACACAUAAUAAUUGCUUAGGUUGUUUCUCCUGGUAUUGUAGUAUUCAGAUCGAACUCUAGUCUCGACAGGGGUAAUUUCAUGGUUAAACAAGGAUGUGCAUGUUAUAAUUGAAGUUUGUUCUAGAAUGUAGUAGUUGAAAUUGUUUUAUUUACUUUGUUAUGUAGUAUUUAUGCAUGUCAUGAAUGAGUGUUAUCAUCAUACGUAACAUACAUAUGCUAGUAGUUUAUAAAUAGACUGCUCUCUCAAGUUGUUGGGAGAGAUAUGGAUUGUUAUUCACUUGUAAUUUGUUAACCCUAAUUAAGAAAGUAAAUAGAAAAACCAUCAUAAUAAAACCUUACUUCUCAUUCUUUUCUCUCUUCAUAAAUUGAAUCGUUUUCUUGAUUAUUGAAGAACUCUCUCUUUCUCAUAGAUUUGUUAUGUUUGGCAUUGUUUAUCACAACAAAUUGGUGCAGUGAGCAUGGAUUAAGAUGUUGUCAACGAAGUAUGAGAUUGAAAAAUUAACCGGUGUGAAUGAUUUCGGAUUAUGGCACUUGAAGAUGCAAUUUUUUCUUGUUCAACAGGGUUUGUUAGAAGCGUUGAAGGGGUCAUAAAGAAUGGAUGUUGCCUUAACGGAGAAGGAGAACACAACAAUGAUCAAGAAAGCCCACAAUGUCAUCAUAUUGAGUCUUGAUGGUAAGGUUCUCUGACAGGUCUUGAAGGAGAAAACAACAGCGGGUGUGUGGAACAAACUUGAAGGUUUGUGCAUGACCAAUCGUUGGUAAAUCGCCUCUAUCUUAAGCAAGCUAUGUAUUCAUUCAAGAUGAGCAAAGACAAAUUCUUGGUUAACUAGUUGGAUAUGUUCAACAAGUUGAUUCUUUAUCAAGAGAAUAUUAAUGUCAAGAUCGAUGAUAAAUAUUAAGUGUUGUUGUUGUUGUGUGUUUUAGCAAGAUCUCAUGCUCACUUCAAAGAAACUCUCUUAUAUGGGAGAGAGCCACUGACCUUUGAAGAAAUCCAGUCAGACUUGUACUCAAAGGGCUUGAACAAAAUAAAGGAGCAUAAACCAUCAUUUGUUGGUGAAGAAUUGUCCGUAAAAGGAAAAUUCUCGAAGAAGGGUGGUAACUUUAAGAUAAAGGAGGGUAAAGAUUAUCAAAAGUAUUAUGGUGGUAAUACUCCUGCUAUUAGGUUUUAUCACUGUAAGAAGGAAGGACAUACAAGAAAAGUGUGUCCUUAUAAGUUGAAGAGUUAUGGCAAUGGUAAUGACAAUGGUAAUGCAUCCAUUGUUCAAGAUGAUUACGAAUUAUCUGAUGUCCUGGUAGUUUCGAGCAACAAUUCUAGCAAGAAAUGGAUCUUGGAUUUUGGUUGCACUUGGAACAUGACUCCAAACAAAUGUGUGUUUGAGGAAUUAUGUGAUCAAGAUGGUGGAUCAGUGCUGUUGGGAAACAAUAAAGCCUGCAAAAUUGUAGGAAAUGGCUAUUUAAGAUUCAAGCUACAUGACGAGUCAAUAAAGUUGUUGACUGGUGUCAGGUAUGUACCUGAUCUUAAGAAAACAUUAAUUUUUCUUGGUGAAUUCGAUAAGAAAUGAUAUUUGUUCAAGGGAGAGAAAGGUAUCCUGAGAGUCAUGAAUGGGUUAAAGUAAGUAUUGAGAGGCAGAAAGAAGCAAGGCUUGUAUGCCCUUGAGGUUGAGAUUGUAAGUGGUUCAACAAACAUUCCAUCCAUAAAACUUGUGCCGAAGACAAAGUUAUGGCACAUGAUAUUCGGCCAUUUCGGUGAAAGGGGCCUGGUCGAAUUGGGGAUGAAAACACACAAAGAAGUUUGCUCGGGUAAUCCAUUAAAUCUCGAUAAACUUAGAGUAUUUGGAUGUGUAACCUAUGCUCACACUAGGCAAGGCAAAAUCGAACCUACACCUUUGAGAUGCAUGUUCCUUGGGUAUCUUGAGGGAGUUAAAGCAUAUAGGUUAUGGUGCCUAGAACCAGGUCACGAAAGGUGUAUCACAAGUCGUGAUGUGGUUUUCAAUGAAUCAUAAACGGAUUUCAAGAAAUCUGAUGAUGAUGGUUGAAAUGUAAAGAUCUUUGAAGACGGGCUGAAACAAGAAGAGUUUCUUGUUGAGGUGAGGCAUAUUGAUGUUAAAUUGCAUAACCUAGAUGAAAUCGAAGAAUAAUCACAAGGUGUUGAUGAAGAUGAGGAGACUGAUAAUAACUACAUGUUGGCAAGGGAUAGGGCAAAGAGAGUCAUCAAGCCACCUCAGUGACUUGGUUAUGUCACUACUACAAAAUAAACCUUUCGUAACAUCAAUUUUACAACAAUCAUAAUGUUAAUUGUGGUAAUAGUUUGUUUAUGGGCGUUUUUUAUAUAUUUACUAAAGGACAUGUCACAGCGGUCAAAUGAAGUAGAUGUAGUGAAAGGUACACAUAGUGAAAUGGUUUGAAUCCCAACACCAACAAUUAGCCAUUUAUCAUGAUAAAAAUGUGAUUGACAAUGUAUAUCACCACGAUUUUUAUUACCAACUAUGAUGAAAUGUGAUACUUAUUCACAUAUAAGCAAAAUUAUUUCUCGCUUCAGUACAUAACAGUUGUCUCUCUCAAAAUAAAACCCUAACAACUAUUUCACUCGUCUCUCGCCAAAGGAAACCCUAACAACUCUGUCACUCGUCUCUCUCAUAUGGAAACCCCAAAACAAAACCAUAACAUCAAAUCUUAACCAAUGGGUAUUUACAGGUUCAUUUUAUCUAUAGUUUUUUUUUCAAAAUUUGUUUCAAUAGCUUAUUUCAUGAUGUAUGAAUUUUCUUCUUGUUUUAACUUGUAGGUAGGGAUGCUUGUUUCAAUAAAGAGGACGGAGUUAAAGUUAGCGUUGAAAAUUUAUAGGUAGGGAUGUUAAGUUUGCUGCUCUAACAUUAGCUUCAUCCUUAUUUCAUUGUGGACACGCCAUUAUGAGACACGUAUGGUACGUUUCUGAAGCAUUCUAUGACUUGAUAUGUUGUAUUUGUUGUUUAUGGUUUAUUGUUGAUUAAUGUUUGUUUAAAAGAUGAUUUUAUUAUAUAUUAUAUGAUUUGAGUGUUUCUCCAUUCCCUUACCAAAUAUAUAAUUUUUCAAACAAAAUCAACAAAUUAUGAU
This 8960-nucleotide long non-coding RNA is filed under the name Lathyrus oleraceus (garden pea). Its description in RNAcentral is "Pisum sativum (pea) long non-coding RNA (PSAT_LNC036573)". Lineage: Eukaryota; Viridiplantae; Streptophyta; Magnoliopsida; Fabales; Fabaceae. The record is from RNAcentral.